UGGCGGACGGGUGAGUAAUGUCUGGGAAACUGCCUGAUGGAGGGGGAUAACUACUGGAAACGGUAGCUAAUACCGCAUAACGUCGCAAGACCAAAGAGGGGGACCUUCGGGCUCUUGCCAUCGGAUGUGCCCAGAUGGGAUUAGCUAGUAGGUGGGGUAACGGCUCACCUAGGCGACGAUCCCUAGCUGGUCUGAGAGGAUGACCAGCCACACUGGAACUGAGACACGGUCCAG
Molecule: ribosomal RNA, 234 nt
Filed under: uncultured bacterium
Lineage: Bacteria
Description: partial 16S ribosomal RNA
Rfam family: Bacterial small subunit ribosomal RNA
Source: RNAcentral